GAUGAACGCUGGCGGCGUGCCCAAUACAUGCAAGUCGAGCGAACGGACGAGAAGCUUGCUUUUCUGAUGUUAGCGGCGGACGGGUGAGUAACACGUGGAUAACCUACCUAUAAGACUGGGAUAACUUCGGGAAACCGGAGCUAAUACCGGAUAAUAUUUUGAACCGCAUGGUUCAAAAGUGAAAGACGGUCUUGCUGUCACUUAUAGAUGGAUCCGCGCUGCAUUAGCUAGUUGGUAAGGUAACGGCUUACCAAGGCAACGAUGCAUAGCCGACCUGAGAGGGUGAUCGGCCACACUGGAACUGAGACACGGUCCAGACUCCUACGGGAGGCAGCAGUAGGGAAUCUUCCGCAAUGGGCGAAAGCCUGACGGAGCAACGCCGCGUGAGUGAUGAAGGUCUUCGGAUCGUAAAACUCUGUUAUUAGGGAAGAACAUAUGUGUAAGUAACUGUGCACAUCUUGAUGGUACCUAAUCAGAAAGCCACGGCUAACUACGUG
RNAcentral lists this ribosomal RNA (497 nucleotides) under uncultured bacterium. RNAcentral's name for it is "partial 16S ribosomal RNA". It matches the Rfam family "Bacterial small subunit ribosomal RNA", at positions 28 to 507 of the family's 1533-position model. The record is from RNAcentral.